GCCUAGGUGGCUCAGUCAGUUGGGCGUCUGAUUUCAGCUCAGGUCAUGAUCUCACAGUUUGUGGGUUUGAGCCCCACAUUGGGCU
This 85-nucleotide transfer RNA is filed under the name Felis catus (domestic cat). It matches the Rfam family "tRNA". From Rfam's summary of the family: Transfer RNA (tRNA) molecules are approximately 80 nucleotides in length. Their secondary structure includes four short double-helical elements and three loops (D, anti-codon, and T loops). The record is from Rfam by way of RNAcentral. Lineage: Eukaryota; Metazoa; Chordata; Mammalia; Carnivora; Felidae.